RNAcentral lists this unclassified non-coding RNA (367 nucleotides) under fungal sp. RNAcentral's name for it is "partial internal transcribed spacer region". The stretch from base 1 to 46 matches the Rfam family "Eukaryotic small subunit ribosomal RNA", at positions 1786 to 1831 of the family's 1831-position model. The record is from RNAcentral. Lineage: Eukaryota; Fungi.
AAGUCGUAACAAGGUCUCCGUAGGUGAACCUGCGGAGGGAUCAUCUAGAAAUGAUAGAAAUAUGUAUGGCUAGUCCAUUCCCCUAUUGAAAGGUAGGGGGAGGAUGUGCCCAUAUGUAUGGAUAUAUGUGAUGGUGUUGCUAUAACAAUCUUGAAUUGGAGAUCAAGAGGGAAGGUUGUAUGUGGUAUGCUUGCAUGCUGCAUCUUUCCUCCUCCAUUCAUAUAUCUUAUGUUGCAUGAUGGAGUGUGUUUUGGGGAUAUAUGCUAUACAUGUCUCUUGAGAUGUGUGCGUGUAUACCCCUCACCAUCAAUCCAGGGCCUUGCAUACACAAAGUUUAUAACUUUUGGCAACGGAUCUCUUGGUUCUC